Limulus polyphemus (Atlantic horseshoe crab) is the source of this 839-nucleotide long non-coding RNA. RefSeq lists it as uncharacterized. The record is from RefSeq and is a predicted model, not a curated record. The transcript has 4 exons. NCBI's taxonomy places the organism in Eukaryota, Metazoa, Arthropoda, Merostomata, Xiphosura, Limulidae.
UGAUGGUAGCGAACGUGUGUGUGGUGAGAAGUAAACGGUAUUAACAUUCUGGUUCAGUGCACCGGUUCUUCCGUGAAUCACAACGGAACAAGUGAACUUUAGAUCGGUCUUUGAAAAUCAGCAGUCAGCGAACAUGUAAACCAGAAAACAGUUUAACUGAAUGUUUACUACGACUACCGUGUUAAAAAAUCGGAAACCAACGGACAAAUAGAAGUAAAACUUAGAAGAUAAACUAACCCUAUUAAUAACGAACACAUCAACGAAGAUUCGGUUUAGUAAGGGUGUUAUUGAACCGGACAGCGAAACUGUGUUCUCUCUGGCAGCGCUCGUGCUUCAGGAAGUUUCUGGAGAUUACUCUGAUGACCAAACCACCAGAGAAAGGCUAAAAGAUCUACCAGUUUUACCAACAAGAGUACUGAAGACUCGGCCGUCUUUACAUGUAUGUGAAGACAAAGUUUCAAAGAUCUACAAGAACCUGAAAGGGACUUGUCGAGGAAGUGCUAUAGUGAAGUAAGUGUUGUUUUAAAACUCUGGCUGUAAUUAUUAAUGUACAAGAACCUGAAAGGGACUUGUCGAGGAAGUGCUAUAGUAAAGUAAGUUUUGUUUUAAAACUCUGGCUGUAAUUAUUAAUGUACAAGAACCUGAAAGGAACUUGUCGAGGAAGUGCUAUAGUAAAGUAAGUGUUAUUUUAAAACUCUGGCUGUACUUAUUAAUGUACAAGAACCUGAAAGGGACUUGUCGAGGAAGUGCUAUAGUAAAGUAAGUGUUGUUUUAAAACUCUGGCUGUAAUUAUUAAUGAAAUAAUUUCGAUAUUUAACAUAGAUUUUUAAGUUACUAGA